AGUAACAAGCAAUUAUUGGUGCUCCACCAGCUACUGGUCGGACAUGACGCAUCUUUGAGUAUUUUUCUCACAGAGCUUGAGUAGCGUUGAGGACUUGAAGAACCAGACUGGAGGUGACUGCAACAGUUACAGCUGGAAUAGUCAAUCCGUCGACCUUUGUUAUAGCAAACUGAAGGAUGCAACUGUUCUGAGCUAUGCCGGACCUGAGGGGAGCAGUGUAAACACAGUCAAUCAGCUUGGUGCCUGUAAUGUGCAGCCUUUGCAGAAAAAGGUUGCUGAUGGAACUGAUUAGGUAAAUGAUCAUCCCCAUCACAUGAAGAUGCACUGCCAUCGUAAGCAUAGUAACUUCUGUGUGUUGGAGAUUUGAUCAUAUUUCUGAGAUUAACAGGAGGCUCAGAGUUUUCUAACGUAUCCAUAGAGCUUAUACGGUCAAAACCUGAGUGAAUCUCUUUUUGAAAUUGCUCAAACUACUCAUGAUCAGUAGACAUCAAAGUGUCUGUUAUGAUGCUUUCAUUCAAAAGACUUUGGUACAUAUCGGAGCCUACAGAUAACUGCUUCUCAAUGCCAUCACGGCCUAAUUCUUCUCUGUGGUUGAUACAUUCAAAUGAUCCGCAAGGAAGUUGUCUUCAUCCAGUUCCAGUUGUUCUGUCGCUUCAAGGGCUAAAACCUUCCGCGUCUUGUUUGGUUUCAAGGGUUGGACAUCCAGUGCCUUUUUCCAGCUCCAGUUGCUCUCUCUCUUCAUUGGCUGAACCUUCUGCAUCUUCUUUGGCUCCAACGACUGAACUUCCCGACUCAUGACAAAUUUGGAUGAAGGAUCUUCAUUCUCAAGACAGGUAAGACCAGAAGAGCUCGGAAGCUCAUAGGGGGAAUUUAUCUGUCGAGGUAGAUCCUUGUUACAGUCUUCAGCACCCCCUUGAUCGGACUGCUUCCACUCGUUCAGUGAAGCAUCUCCAUUCGAAGGAGAAGCUUAUUCACUUGCGCUGCUUAUUUCUUUCUGAUCAAGUCCGUUGUUCCUGUUCUUAGCUGCAUCCAAGUUAAAAUUUGUGAGGAAGUCAUUUCAACUUGCACCAUAAUCACUUUAACUUUUUUGAGAAUUAAUCACUCAUGUAAAAUUUAGUUAUUUAAUUCUAUUGGCG
This is a long non-coding RNA of Nicotiana attenuata, 1136 nucleotides long. RefSeq lists it as uncharacterized. Lineage: Eukaryota; Viridiplantae; Streptophyta; Magnoliopsida; Solanales; Solanaceae. The record is from RefSeq and is a predicted model, not a curated record. The transcript is spliced from 5 exons.